GAUAUUAGAAAGUACUACCCAAAUUUGAAGGAUGGUUCUCUUCAGCCCGAAUAUGCAGGAAUUCGACCAAAACUUUCAGGUCCUGGACAGCCACCCGUCGAUUUUGUAGUACAGGGGGCGGAUACCCAUGGUGUAGCUACUCUUGUUAACCUCAUCGGAAUCGAGUCACCGGGUUUAACUUCAAGUUUAGCUAUUGCAGAACACAUUGCAACCAGAUUCUUAUGAUGGAGAACCAAUCUUUAAUGUGUAUUGAAGAUUUCUGAUGUAGGACAUUGAAAUACUACCCUCUGUUUCAACAUAUGAAGAUCCUAACAUCUUUGUUGUAUCAUGUACUCUUACCUGUUGUGUAAAGAGCAAAUAAGAUUAGUGAGUGCAUAACAAGUAAAUUUGUACAUUUUCAUUCUAACUCGGAUGUCAGAUUUAUAAUGAGAAGAAUAUCUAUGUUAUAAA
Humulus lupulus (European hop) is the source of this 450-nucleotide long non-coding RNA. RefSeq lists it as uncharacterized. The record is from RefSeq and is a predicted model, not a curated record. Lineage: Eukaryota; Viridiplantae; Streptophyta; Magnoliopsida; Rosales; Cannabaceae. The transcript has 2 exons.